AUGGCCGGAAUUGUCAACAAAGAGUUUCCUGAGUUGGCCCAGACAGGGCUGAACUACCUGUCAUGGUCCUCGGACUGCGAGAUUUUUCUCCAGGGCAAAACCCUCCCGAGGGCGAUCGGUAAGGGGGCCCAACUGGCCGCCACUGAUCGCAAGUUCGAAACUGAGAAUGCGUAGGCUCUGCACUUUCUCCGUCAUCACCUGUCACCUACUCUGAAAGAUGAGUAUAUGGCUGAGCGCAGUGCUUCUGGCCUUUGGACCGCUCUUAAGCAGCGGUUUGAGCGGCCGAAGUACACUGUGAAGCCACGUGCAGAGGCAAAGUGGAUCCAUCUAAGACAGAAGAUUGAGAAAACCCUAUCCACUUUCCACCCCAACACGGUCCAGUCCUCACGGAACUACCGCUAGGGAAACUACACAAGGUAUUCAGAUUUGAUUGAUGUCCUCCAGGUGGCGGAGGCGCAGGAUGAGGUUCUCAAAAAGAACUUUGUCGCAUAACCACUUGGGAGGAGUUCUCGCAGGAGGUGAACGCUAUCAAAGUCCGCAAGCCUCAACAGAAGAAGAGGGGCCGCAAGGGCAAGAAGAAGGGCCCUCANNNNNNNUUGUGGCUCGGUGGAGCAUUUCUCCCGCCAGUGCCGUGCACCACCGGAGGUCGUUGAAGCAUACAAGGCUCGAAAGGCGCGUGAGACGCACCUCGCCUUGGUUCAGGAGGGAGCACCACCGGCGCCCAUGGCGGCACCCGUGGUGAUCGCUACGCCCCCUGCUGCGCCCAUAGAGGCGACUGUUGGGGACCGUAGUAAUUUCAAAAAAAUUCCUACGCACACGCAAGAUCAUGGUGAUGCAUAG
This 840-nucleotide ribosomal RNA is filed under the name Triticum aestivum (bread wheat). Its description in RNAcentral is "partial small subunit ribosomal RNA". Lineage: Eukaryota; Viridiplantae; Streptophyta; Magnoliopsida; Poales; Poaceae. The record is from RNAcentral.